UGACCGUUCUGUUAGUUUUGUCAUCAAAAUGAAGGAUGCCAACAGAUUGCUGCGUCUCUCUUACUGUAAAGCAACUGGUUGUUGAAGGGGGGAAGGAGUUGAUCCAACAACUCGAUGAGCUGAAAAAGAUGACCAUACAGAAAAAAGAAAUAGAGAACGACACCAAAAGCAGUUAUUUCACGCCAAUGGAAUGUGGGAGAAGAAAUUUGAGAUUCUGAAGGCGAGCCCAAUAGGUUGUUGUUUUCAGAAGAUGGACAGGAUAAGACUAUGGACAUCAGUGUGUUGAGUGGCAGAGAAACAAAUUGUUCCGGUAAACAAUUUAUCCGACCAUUAGGACCAAAUUCUAACCAGAGACACACAUGCAUAUCUCAAAGCUUAUCCUCCAUUGUCAUUGAUGCAGGAUUUACAUGAAAGUUGAAGUACGUGCUUUUAAUCUUUGGAUUCUGCCCCAACAUGUCGAAUAAGAAAUUACCUAUAUAUCUUUAGAAAUAAAUCCAGGAGUUGAUUAUUUCAAUAUCCCUGAAGGUGUCUUUUUUUUUGUUGAGACACGGUUACUACCUAUAUGAAAAGACCUGUAUCUACCGUCCUAACACAUACAGUGUAACUUUCCUGAUUACAUAUUUUUUCUCCCAUAUAGUUCAUAUACUGUACAUGCAUG
This 658-nucleotide long non-coding RNA is filed under the name Salmo salar (Atlantic salmon). Its description in RNAcentral is "lncRNA (ENSSSAG00000113125.1)". The record is from RNAcentral. Lineage: Eukaryota; Metazoa; Chordata; Actinopteri; Salmoniformes; Salmonidae.